AUUGAACGCUGGCGGCAUGCCUUACACGUGCAAGUCGAACAGCAGCACGGAGCUUGCUCUGGUGGCGAGUGGCGAACGGGUGAGUAAUAUAUCGGAACGUACCCUGGAGUGGGGGAUAACGUAGCGAAAGUUACGCUAAUACCGCAUACGACAGAAGGAUGAAAGGGGGGGCUGGCAAGACCUCAUGCUCCCGGAGCGACCGAUAUCUGAUUAGCUAGUUGGUGGGGUAAAGGCCCACCAAGGCAUCGAUCAGUAGCUGGUCUGAGAGGACGACCAGCCACACUGGAACUGAGACACGGUCCAGACUCCUACGGGAGGCAGCAGUGGGGAAUUUUGGACAAUGGGGGCAACCCUGAUCCAGCAAUGCCGCGUGAGUGAAGAAGGCCUUCGGGUUGUAAAGCUCCUUUGUCAGGGAAGAAAAGGCUGCAGCUAAUAUCUGCGGCUCAUGACGGUACCUGAAGAAGAAGCACCGGCUAACUACGUGCCAGCCGCCGCGGUAA
Molecule: ribosomal RNA, 500 nt
Filed under: uncultured bacterium
Lineage: Bacteria
Description: partial 16S ribosomal RNA
Rfam family: Bacterial small subunit ribosomal RNA
Source: RNAcentral